RNAcentral lists this ribosomal RNA (939 nucleotides) under uncultured organism. RNAcentral's name for it is "bacterial SSU rRNA". It matches the Rfam family "Bacterial small subunit ribosomal RNA", at positions 528 to 1479 of the family's 1533-position model. The record is from RNAcentral.
GAGGAUGCAGGCGUUAUCCGGAUUUAUUAGGUUUAAAGGGUGUUCAGACUGUCUGGUAAGUCAGAGGUGAAAGUCGGUUGCUUAACGAUCGAAUUGCCUUUGAAACUGUCAGACUUGAGUAUGGAUGCGGUAGGCGGAAUGUGUAGUGUAGCGGUGAAAUGCAUAGAUAUUACACAGAACACCGAUUGCGAAAGCAGCUUACCAAACCAGCACUGACGCUGAAGCACGAAAGCGUGGGUAGCGAACAGGAUUAGAUACCCUGGUAGUUCACGCAGUAAACGAUGCUCACUCGCUGUUGGCAAUAGAUCGUCAGCGGCUAAGGGAAACCGAUAAGUGAGCCACCUGGGGAGUACGAUCGCAAGACUGAAACUCAAAGGAAUUGACGGGGGCCCGCACAAGCGGUGGAACAUGUGGUUUAAUUCGAUGAUACGCGAGGAACCUUACCUGGGCUUAAAUGUACGACGCAUAAGUGUGAAAGCACUUUUUCCUUCGGGACUUUGUACAAGGUGCCGCAUGGUUGUCGUCAGCUCGUGCCGUGAGGUGUCGGGUUAAGUCCCAUAACGAGCGCAACCCCUAUUGUUAGUUACCAGCGCGUAAAGGCGGGGACUCUAGCGAAACUGCCGGUGUAAACCGCGAGGAAGGUGGGGAUGACGUCAAAUCAGCACGGCCCUUAUGUCCAGGGCUACACACGUGUUACAAUGGCCGGUACAGCGGGCAGCGAGGCAGCGAUGCCGAGCGAAUCUCGAAAGCCGGUCCCAGUUCGGAUUGGAGUCUGCAACCCGACUCCAUGAAGGUGGAAUCGCUAGUAAUCGCGCAUCAGCCAUGGCGCGGUGAAUACGUUCCCGGGCACUUGUACACACCGCCCGUCAAGCCAUGGAAGUCUGGGGUGCCUGAAGGCCGUAACCGCGAGGAGCGGUCUAGGGUAAACAGAUGACUGGG